CAACUUGAGAGUUUGAUCCUGGCUCAGAACGAACGCUGGCGGCAGGCCUAACACAUGCAAGUCGAGCGAGACCUUCGGGUCUAGCGGCGGACGGGUUAGUAACGCGUGGGAACGUACCCUUUUCUACGGAAUAGCCUUUGGAAACGAAGAGUAAU
This 155-nucleotide ribosomal RNA is filed under the name Paracoccaceae bacterium. RNAcentral describes it as "Rhodobacteraceae bacterium partial 16S ribosomal RNA". It matches the Rfam family "Bacterial small subunit ribosomal RNA", at positions 1 to 167 of the family's 1533-position model. Lineage: Bacteria; Pseudomonadati; Pseudomonadota; Alphaproteobacteria; Rhodobacterales; Paracoccaceae. The record is from RNAcentral.